RNAcentral lists this ribosomal RNA (253 nucleotides) under uncultured bacterium. RNAcentral's name for it is "partial 16S ribosomal RNA". It matches the Rfam family "Bacterial small subunit ribosomal RNA", at positions 524 to 776 of the family's 1533-position model. The record is from RNAcentral.
UACGGGGGGGGCAAGCGUUGUUCGGAAUUACUGGGCGUAAAGGGCUCGUAGGUGGCCCCAUAAGUCAGACGUGAAAUCCCUCGGCUCAACCGAGGAACUGCGUCUGAGACUGUGGGGCUUGAAUCCGGGAGAGGGAUGCGGAAUUCCCGGUGUAGUGGUGGAAUGCGUAGAUAUCGGGAGGAACACCAGUGGCGAAGGCGGCUUCCUGGACCGGUUCUGACACUGAGGAGCGAAAGCGUGGGGAGCGAUCCGG